Molecule: long non-coding RNA, 993 nt
Organism: Actinia tenebrosa (Australian red waratah sea anemone)
Lineage: Eukaryota; Metazoa; Cnidaria; Anthozoa; Actiniaria; Actiniidae
Source: RefSeq, a predicted model, not a curated record
ACAAGUACAAUUUUGGCAAAGACUGAGCAAAGGCGAACUCGAAAAGAAAUCAGUAAAACUUUAGCAGCAGUGAACGUGUACAAUAGAAAGUCCACACGCAAGUCAACAUUAUUCAUCCAACCACCUACAAAUUGAAACUACUUAUUUGCAAGCCUAUACAUGCAAUAGUUUUGAUAUUCGAUUUAAAGCCUGCCCAAACAAAAUACAUCAAAAGCAUACGAGUGAUGACUACGGUCCAGCACAUGUUAUUUGUUCUUCUUCUGCAAUUUGCGUGUUUGGACUCGUUUGAUGCAAAACAAUCGAUACGUUCGAUGAAGCAUACGAAUGGCUCUCACCCAUGCCCUCAACCAACCGUGGGAAACUGUUCCUGUGAGUGGACUGGACCCUACCUCAAGGUCAUGUGUGUUGGGCUCAACACCGUGCCAGAGAAAGUACCAGAGAGCGCAAUAUAUAUCUAAAACAUAAGAAACAAGUGUCAUAAUUGAACUUCAAUUGCAGAACAUUUUKCAACGGWACCAUCAAAGAAAUUCCCCAGRACUUUUUUCUAUCCUUCAAGAACCUCAUUACUCUAAACCUCAAGAUCAACAAAAUAUCAAACAAGUUUUAUCUUCCAAAAAGUGUGAUCAACUUGUAAGAUAAUUUUAGUCUCUCUUAAAGUGUUAUAUUAUAAACCGCCGGCGAGGGGGUGGGACAGGGUUUGGCAGUGGAUUGAAAAAGCUUACCGUUCCGGCUCCUAAAGAGAUAUUAUCUUUUGUUAUGACACCCAUUACUUCCCCUUCCCAUAACUUUUUCCCCUUCCCAUACUGGUUUUUGCUACUUCAUGAUCAUUUUUGAUCAUUUUUGAUUUGUGAUCCAUGUGAUACCCUCUUCCCGCCAGCUCCUCUGACUUUCCUGUCUUUCCUAGGCUUUUAAAUAGUGCCUGUCCCCGAUUGGUCAAAAAGUCAAAAAGAACGAAUAAAAUAAAGAACUCUAAAUUUUCGCCCCAUGAUUAAC